Molecule: transfer RNA, 53 nt
Filed under: Dipodomys ordii (Ord's kangaroo rat)
Lineage: Eukaryota; Metazoa; Chordata; Mammalia; Rodentia; Heteromyidae
Source: Rfam by way of RNAcentral
GGGAAGGUGGCUCAGUGGUAGAGUGCUUGCCUUGCAUGCAUGAGACCCUCCCU